This 448-nucleotide ribosomal RNA is filed under the name uncultured organism. RNAcentral's name for it is "partial 16S ribosomal RNA". It matches the Rfam family "Bacterial small subunit ribosomal RNA", at positions 333 to 797 of the family's 1533-position model. The record is from RNAcentral.
ACACUCCUACGGGAGGCAGCAGUGGGGAAUAUUGGACAAUGGGCGCAAGCCUGAUCCAGCCAUGCCGCGUGAGUGAUGAAGGCCCUAGGGUUGUAAAGCUCUUUCACCGGUGAAGAUAAUGACGGUAACCGGAGAAGAAGCCCCGGCUAACUUCGUGCCAGCAGCCGCGGUAAUACGAAGGGGGCUAGCGUUGUUCGGAUUUACUGGGCGUAAAGCGCACGUAGGCGGACUAUUAAGUCAGGGGUGAAAUCCCGGGGCUCAACCCCGGAACUGCCUUUGAUACUGGUAGUCUUGAGUUCGAGAGAGGUGAGUGGAAUUCCGAGUGUAGAGGUGAAAUUCGUAGAUAUUCGGAGGAACACCAGUGGUGAAGGCGGCUCACUGGCUCGAUACUGACGCUGAGGUGCGAAAGCGUGGGGAGCAAACAGGAUUAGAAACCCUGGUAGUCCCA